Long non-coding RNA from Sycon ciliatum, 1744 nucleotides. RefSeq lists it as uncharacterized. The transcript has 3 exons. Lineage: Eukaryota; Metazoa; Porifera; Calcarea; Leucosolenida; Sycettidae. The record is from RefSeq and is a predicted model, not a curated record.
AGCGCCAGUCCUAUGGUCCAUCAUCGGUUAACGUGUUAGUAGAAUCAGAAUCACACUGCUCGAUAAAAGGAAAUCAAUUCGGCGGUGUUGGCAGGCCUUUAUUCAACCUCUUCAUGGAAUAUUCAGAAGGAGCAAUAAUCACGGCGGCGGCAACAACCUUGCCAGUUCCGAUUGAAACCCAAGCUACUAUUCCGUCAACGAAUGCACCACUGCUAUCUGCGACAAGCAGCAUGAAGUCCACAGCUCCAAACGGUUUAACAACUAUUCAUGGGCCUUCGUCUACAAGGCAGAUAUUCCCUCGAUUUACGAAGGAAAGGAACACGCUAGCUUUCUCUACCUCAGCGACUAUGGAACGACUUGCAACCUUUUCCCACUUCGAGCCCUCAGAAGAGGACCCUUCAGCACUCGGCCGUAGAGCUAUAAUCGGGAUUUCCGCGUCUGCUGGAACAGUUCUGGUUUUAUGUGUGAUAUAUUCAGUUGUGUGGAAAUACAGAAUGACAACCAGACGUUCUAGGUCCAGUGAAGAUUUUGAUAAAGAGCAUCAACACAGCAACAAGACGGCAGAAGAAACUGGCAUAUACGAAACAGUGAUUGGUGAGCGGCUCGAUCAGAUGGCUGUACCAAUGACUGUACAGACACCAACAGAGUCUGCCGUUCCUAUGUACGAGAGCACAGCUUACAUGAGCACUACGAAGAAAUCCUGUCAACUCACCUCGAAUGAUGCCUAUGGAGCGACGUCGGACAUGUUCUAACAUACUCGGGCGAGUCUGAUGAAUGAGAGCGCUACUUUCAUGGUGGUCGAGCUCAGGUGUCUCAUAAGGAUCUGUCAGACAGAAUUUCCUCAUCCGGCGGAACUCUAGGACUGCUAACUCCACGGACAACACGAUGUAGCAGAUUUUGACAGACUUGCAGAUGCGAGUUGGUCUAACACUACUCCCAAAUGCAAACUACGCAGUGAGCUACGCAUUGUGCAGCCUCUACGUUACGCUCUCGCCAGUUGAUCAGCUAUCUAGGCACCAGGAUGUGAUGCAAUGACGGAUGUUCACGUUCUGUUCCAUAUUAAAAUGAUGGCAUGUACCUCGCAUUUAUUCUAUGCUGGACACUAAUUUUCACAUAAACAUAUUCUAACCUGUCAUGCACUUCUUGCCAAUAAUAUGCUCCUUUCUUUCACUGCUAUGUCAUUUUUCUCACUUCAGUAGGCAAUAUUCCCGGCAAUAACCUAUUCAGAUGUUGAUGGCCGCAAACCUUUCAGCUUUACCUGAUACGUAUUGUAUUUGACAUAACCUUUUCAGAAGAUUCACUUUCUACAUUUUAGCAUUAUUUUCGCUUGCACGUGAAAAGCUUUAUAUUUGACUGAAGUGUUAUAUUUUGAACAACCUAGCCAAGUUCUUAUAGCUGAUUGUGUAGCAUACACUGUAGUACAUGUUAUUUUCUUCAAUGUUCAUUUCUAUUGCGAUCGCCUCAGUAAGAUUCUUUCAGGAAAGGUUAUUACAGGAAUACACCUAUAGUAUAAUGUACUGUAAUACGGAUAUGAGCACCGCGAGGAGUUUGCUUUUUUCUUAGUUCACUUGUCAUUCUGUCACCAAAUUACUUUCUUCGGCGCUUUCAAUCAUGUUCAUACUGGCCACUUUUACUUUCCACGUGCUUUACAAGACAUCAUUGAGCGUUCAUCCAUCCCAUAUAUACACGAUAGUCAGCUUACGAGGGUAGCUGUCGGCGAUAGAGUGCAUUGAUUGUAGGGAAG